AUUGAACGCUGGCGGCAGGCCUAACACAUGCAAGUCGAGCGGAUGAAGGGAGCUUGCUCCUGGAUUCAGCGGCGGACGGGUGAGUAAUGCCUAGGAAUCUGCCUGGUAGUGGGGAUAACGUCCGGAAACGGGCGCUAAUAACGCAUAAGUCCUGAGGGAGAAAGUGGGGGAUCUUCGGACCUCACGCUAUCAGAUGAGCCUAGGUCGGAUUAGCUAGUUGGUGGGGUAAAGGCCUACCAAGGCGACGAUCCGUAACUGGUCUGAGAGGAUGAUCAGUCACACUGGAACUGAGACACGGUCCAGACUCCUACGGGAGGCAGCAGUGGGGAAUAUUGGACAAUGGGCGAAAGCCUGAUCCAGCCAUGCCGCGUGUGUGAAGAAGGUCUUCGGAUUGUAAAGCACUUUAAGUUGGGAGGAAGGGCAGUAAGUUAAUACCUUGCUGUUUUGACGUUACCAACAGAAUAAGCACCGGCUAACUUCGUG
RNAcentral lists this ribosomal RNA (483 nucleotides) under uncultured bacterium. RNAcentral's name for it is "partial 16S ribosomal RNA". It matches the Rfam family "Bacterial small subunit ribosomal RNA", at positions 30 to 507 of the family's 1533-position model. The record is from RNAcentral.